GAGCGCCAGAUGGGUCUCCGGACACCGG
RNAcentral lists this small RNA (28 nucleotides) under Bombyx mori (domestic silkworm). RNAcentral's name for it is "ovarian small RNA-15812". Lineage: Eukaryota; Metazoa; Arthropoda; Insecta; Lepidoptera; Bombycidae. The record is from RNAcentral.